UACCAGCUCUCCAAGUGGUAGGGAUGAUUAUUGGGCUUAAAGCGUCCGUAGCUGGCUUAGCAAGUCUCCUGUUAAAUUCAGCGACCUAAUCGUUGAGCCGCGGGAGAUACUACUAGGCUAGGAGGCGGGAGAGGUCGACGGUACUUUCGGGGUAGGGGUGAAAUCCUAUAAUCCCGGGAGGACCACCAGUGGCGAAGGCUGUCGACUAGAACGCGCUCGACGGUGAGGGACGAAAGCUGGGGGAGCGAACCGGAUUAGAUACCCGGGUAGUCCCAGCUGUAAACUAUGCGGGCUAGGUGUUGGGGUGGCUACGGGCCACUUCAGUGCCGCAGGAAAGCCAUUAAGCCCGCCGCCUGGGGAGUACGGCCGCAAGGCUGAAACUUAAAGGAAUUGGCGGGGAGCACCACAAGGCGUGAAGCUUGCGGUUC
RNAcentral lists this ribosomal RNA (428 nucleotides) under uncultured archaeon. RNAcentral's name for it is "bacterial SSU rRNA". It matches the Rfam family "Archaeal small subunit ribosomal RNA", at positions 474 to 903 of the family's 1478-position model. The record is from RNAcentral.